RNAcentral lists this small RNA (868 nucleotides) under Colletotrichum gloeosporioides. RNAcentral's name for it is "eukaryotic LSU rRNA". It matches the Rfam family "Eukaryotic large subunit ribosomal RNA", at positions 50 to 949 of the family's 3401-position model. The record is from RNAcentral. Lineage: Eukaryota; Fungi; Ascomycota; Sordariomycetes; Glomerellales; Glomerellaceae.
GCGGAGGAAAAGAAACCAACAGGGAUUGCCUCAGUAACGGCGAGUGAAGCGGCAACAGCUCAAAUUUGAAAUCUGGCCCUAGGCCCGAGUUGUAAUUUGCAGAGGAUGCUUUUGGUGCGGUGCCUUCCAAGUUCCCUAGAACGGGACGCCAGAGAGGGUGAGAGCCCCGUACAGUUGGACACCAAGCCUUUGUAAAGCUCCUUCGACGAGUCGAGUAGUUUGGGAAUGCUGCUCAAAAUGGGAGGUAUAUUUCUUCUAAAGCUAAAUACCGGCCAGAGACCGAUAGCGCACAAGUAGAGUGAUCGAAAGAUGAAAAGCACUUUGAAAAGAGGGUUAAACAGCACGUGAAAUUGUUAAAAGGGAAGCGCUUGUGACCAGACUUGCGUCCGGUGAAUCACCCAGCUCUCGCGGCUGGGGCACUUCGCCGGCUCAGGCCAGCAUCAGCUCGCUGUCGGGGACAAAAGCUUCGGGAACGUAGCUCUCUUCGGGGAGUGUUAUAGCCUGUUGCAUAAUACCCUUCGGCGGGCUGAGGUACGCGCUCCGCAAGGAUGCUGGCAUAAUGGUCAUCAGCGACCCGUCUUGAAACACGGACCAAGGAGUCAACCUUAUGUGCGAGUGUUCGGGUGUCAAACCCCUACGCGUAAUGAAAGUGAACGCAGGUGAGAGCUUCGGCGCAUCAUCGACCGAUCCUGAUGUUCUCGGAUGGAUUUGAGUAAGAGCAUAUAGGGUUGGACCCGAAAGAAGGUGAACUAUGCGUGUAUAGGGUGAAGCCAGAGGAAACUCUGGUGGAGGCUCGCAGCGGUUCUGACGUGCAAAUCGAUCGUCAAAUAUGCGCAUGGGGGCGAAAGACUAAUCGAACCUUCUAGUA